UUUUCAGAGAUGAGAAUGUGCCUUCGGGAACCGUGAGACAGGUGCUGCAUGGCUGUCGUCAGCUCGUGUUGUGAAAUGUUGGGUUAAGUCCCGCAACGAGCGCAACCCUUAUCCUUUGUUGCCAGCGGUCCGGCCGGGAACUCAAAGGAGACUGCCAGUGAUAAACUGGAGGAAGGUGGGGAUGACGUCAAGUCAUCAUGGCCCUUACGACCAGGGCUACACACGUGCUACAAUGGCGCAUACAAAGAGAAGCGACCUCGCGAGAGCAAGCGGACCUCAUAAAGUGCGUCGUAGUCCGGAUUGGAGUCUGCAACUCGACUCCAUGAAGUCGGAAUCGCUAGUAAUCGUGGAUCAGAAUGCCACGGUGAAUACGUUCCCGGGCCUUGUACACACCGCCCGUCACACCAUGGGAGUGGGUUGCAAAAGAAGUAGGUAGCUUAACCUUCGGGAGGGCGCUUACCACUUUGUGAUUCAUGACUGGGGUGAAGUCGUAACAAGGUAACCGUAGGGGAACCUGCGGUUGGAUCACCUCCUUACCUGAAAGAAGC
Molecule: ribosomal RNA, 548 nt
Filed under: Salmonella enterica subsp. enterica serovar Oranienburg
Lineage: Bacteria; Pseudomonadati; Pseudomonadota; Gammaproteobacteria; Enterobacterales; Enterobacteriaceae
Also listed under: 1 other name
Description: bacterial SSU rRNA
Rfam family: Bacterial small subunit ribosomal RNA
Source: RNAcentral